CGAAAGCCUGACGGAGCAACGCCGCGUGAGGGAUGAAGGCCUCUGGGCUGUAAACCUCUUUUCUCAAGGAAGAGGAUCUGACGGUACUUGAGGAAUAAGCCACGGCUAAUUCCGUGCCAGCAGCCGCGGUAAUACGGGAGUGGCAAGCGUUAUCCGGAAUUAUUGGGCGUAAAGCGUCCGCAGGCGGCCCCGUAAGUCUGUCGUUAAAGCGUGGAGCUUAACUCCAUUUAAGCGAUGGAAACUACAGGGCUUGAGUGUGGUAGGGGCAGAGGGAAUUCCCGGUGUAGCGGUGAAAUGCGUAGAUAUCGGGAAGAACACCAGUGGCGAAGGCGCUCUGCUGGGCCAUAACUGACGCUCAUGGACGAAAGCCAGGGGAGCG
Molecule: ribosomal RNA, 379 nt
Filed under: uncultured cyanobacterium
Lineage: Bacteria; Bacillati; Cyanobacteriota
Description: bacterial SSU rRNA
Rfam family: Bacterial small subunit ribosomal RNA
Source: RNAcentral